This 436-nucleotide ribosomal RNA is filed under the name uncultured eukaryote. Its description in RNAcentral is "bacterial SSU rRNA". It matches the Rfam family "Eukaryotic small subunit ribosomal RNA", at positions 592 to 1018 of the family's 1831-position model. The record is from RNAcentral.
CAAUAGCGUAUAUUAAAGUUGUUGCGGUUAAAAAGCUCGUAGUUGGAUUUCUGGUUGAAGCGACCGGUCGGGCGUUGAUUCGUCUGCACUGGAGUCGGUUUUGGCCAUCCUCUAGGAAAGUGCGUCUGGUAUUAAGUUGUCGGGCGUAUGAUCCUGGUCUUUUACUGUGAAAAAAUUAGAGUGUUUAAAGCAGGCCUUCGCCUUGAAUACAUUAGCAUGGAAUAAUAAGAUAAGACUUGGGUCAUUAUUUUGUUUGGUUUGUCGGAUCGAGGUAAUGAUUAAUAGGGAUAGUUGGGGGUAGUUCAUAUUUAAUUGUCAGAGGUGAAAUUACUUGGAUUUAUUGAAAGAUGAACUUAGGCGAAAGACAUUUACCUAAGGAAUGUUUUCUAUUAAUCAAGAACGAAAGUUAGGGGAGUCGAAGAUGAUUAGAUACCAU